UCCUUCAGUCUGAAGGACAACUGGGGAGAGGUGUGCAAGCAAGGAGGAAUGGUUCUGAUGUGUUGCUUCAGCUUUAGAAGAGAGAAACCUCUGCAAAAGCCUUAGGACAAGUAUGGAUGUUGGAUCCUCUGAACAGGCAUGGCUCAGGAACUGAAGUGGUCAUCCAGGAAAGGCAAAAAAAUAACAUGUGAAGUGACCCACUGCAGAGUGAACUCCUGAAAUCCAAGGAAAUUGGCCCCAGCUUUCCCAGUUUGAUUCUUCCCUGGCUGCAGAGCUGCUGGGCCUGGUCAGGCUUUUUGGCAAUGCUAAUGAUGCCCAGUCUCUUCUGAAGGAGAAAAUGCAAUGGCAGGCUGUGGAGCCUCACCAGCCUGUGCCAAGGUUGUCAGUGCUGUGAGCCUUCAGGCUGAAGGAGAGUGUACAGAUGUGUACAUGCAUAGCCCAUCCUUCAGGAGAGAAACCACAGUGAGUACUGGUGGGAGAGAUGGCAGAUGCUCACAGAUUGAUGCUGACCACAGAGGUGCUAAUGCCUUGCUGUUACACCUUGAUCUUGUUGCUGUCUUUUGUGGUGGUUAAUAAAUACAAACCAUUUC
Molecule: long non-coding RNA, 590 nt
Organism: Zonotrichia leucophrys gambelii
Lineage: Eukaryota; Metazoa; Chordata; Aves; Passeriformes; Passerellidae
Exons: 3
Source: RefSeq, a predicted model, not a curated record